Molecule: ribosomal RNA, 255 nt
Filed under: Vibrio parahaemolyticus
Lineage: Bacteria; Pseudomonadati; Pseudomonadota; Gammaproteobacteria; Vibrionales; Vibrionaceae
Description: partial 16S ribosomal RNA
Rfam family: Bacterial small subunit ribosomal RNA
Source: RNAcentral
UCAGCCACACUGGAACUGAGACACGGUCCAGACUCCUACGGGAGGCAGCAGUGGGGAAUAUUGCACAAUGGGCGCAAGCCUGAUGCAGCCAUGCCGCGUGUAUGAAGAAGGCCUUCGGGUUGUAAAGUACUUUCAGUCGUGAGGAAGGUAGUGUAGUUAAUAGCUGCAUUAUUUGACGUUAGCGACAGAAGAAGCACCGGCUAACUCCGUGCCAGCAGCCGCGGUAAUACGGAGGGUGCGAGCGUUAAUCGGAAU